Molecule: long non-coding RNA, 1817 nt
Organism: Xenia sp. Carnegie-2017
Lineage: Eukaryota; Metazoa; Cnidaria; Anthozoa; Malacalcyonacea; Xeniidae
Exons: 7
Source: RefSeq, a predicted model, not a curated record
GUUUACUUCAGGGUAUUUUCAUGAACGUUUAACAUGGAUUUUUGAAACGCGGAAAACACCAGGCUUACCUCAACUUAUAAAAACAAAAAUCUUUUCUUUGCUUUGUUUCAAUAUUGUUUCAAAUUACUCUGUUUAGAUUUAGACGAGAGCGUUCGGAGACUGGGAGGGUUAUUUUGAAAUCCUUAAUCUUUACCCGAUUCUAUGAUCUUCAAUCUGAUUAACAUGUUGCUUGUUGCAAAGAUACGUUAAGAGUUGAAAAAGCUUUUUUAGCGAUAAUAUUGGAAAAUAUGGCGUUUGCAUUGGUGAAUUUUUACAACGAAAAUACAUGGAUAUUAUUUCAUAUUCUAACAUCAAUUUUGAAGAUGAAAAUAUGUCUAAAGACAAAGAUGAACUUAAAGGAUUCAAAACGUUAGUCAUGUGGAGCGAUGGAAAAACAAAAGGAAACGGCAAGUCGAGGGAAUUUCCUGCAGAGAUAAUAGAGGUUUCAGAUAGUAAAGAUUAUUUGCUCAAGACAAUGAGAGAAGAAGAAACUUUCUCUAUAAAUACUGGCAAAGGGUGUCGCAAAAGAAUUCAAAAAGCAAAGUUUACAAUUGAAAGUGUUAGUGAAUCAGAUGAUGUGCAGGAGCACAGUAUUCCUAAAAAGCUAAAGGCAUCCAGGGCAAAGAAAACAGAGGUUUGCCGCUCAGCCAGUCUUGCUUCACUUAUAAAAGAGUGAUUAACCAAGGAGAGUCAGUCAGAUGAAGGUAGUGCACUUUGCAAUGAUAAAUGCAAGUAUAAAAAAGAAGCCUUGGAACUCAAAGAGAGGGUAAAAAUGCUGGAAAAUCAGAUCAAAAGACUUAAUGAGCAAAUUGACAAUGGCAAUGGGUUGAACCAACUUUUUGGAAGUACCUUUUUUAAAGCAUAUGUUGGCCAUGGACAAAGAACUGAUAAGUUUGAUAAUGGUUGUGAAAAUGGUGAUGUUGUAAAUAAUGAUAGCGAUGAUGAUGGUAAUUCUGGGAAUGUAUUUUGUGGACAAGACGGAACAGUUAAUGAAGGUGACGGACACCUUGUAACAGAAAACGCCGCGCCUAAGAAAAUUGAUAAAGAACACAGGAAGGGAAGAAGUAACAACAAAAGAAAAAGAAAGAGGCAAAGUCCAGUGACAGAAAAAGUGUGUCUUGUGCAAAGAAAAGAGGUAGUCAUUUGACAUCCUAUAACAAAUGUAAAGCCUUUCUUUGUCAAGAACCAUCCUCCAAAGAUAAUGGAAUGGUGGAUUGGGUGUUGUGUGAUGUUUGUCAACAAUGGUACCAUUGGGAUUGCGUUGGCAUUACGACGAAGCCGAAAGGAAAAUUUGAUUGCUGAUGAUAUGUAUCUUAUUUUAAGUAUGGAUCUGCGAAAACAUUUGACAUAAAUAUGAAGGGAAAUCGCUCAUUCAGAGGAUUAAAGGCCUGCAUAUAUUGUAUACGAAAAACUGAGCGUUGUCUCCGAAAUAACGCUGAAAAAAUUUAUAAUUGUGCGAGUGGAGUUCAAGACGGUGCAGACUCUGAAAGUGGCUAACCUUGUUGUCUACCGAAGUACCUGAAAGCUGUAGUGGAUCUUGUAAAAAUUUGAGGUGACUUGACAAUGUAUCAUACUGAUUUACUCUUAUGACUUAAUGUCGUCUAAACAUACUAUUGACGAUGAACUAGCGCUGUUUUUAGUUUAGGUUUACUGAAUAAGAUUUUCUUUUUUAGCUAAGUUCUAUUACUUUAUCAAAAAAUAAUGAAUUCUUGUACAGGAAACAAUUAUACUUCAAUUUUGUCUAUAGUUAAAAUAAAAGAUGCUUUUAGUUACAACUA